RNAcentral lists this unclassified non-coding RNA (453 nucleotides) under Hevea brasiliensis (rubber tree). Lineage: Eukaryota; Viridiplantae; Streptophyta; Magnoliopsida; Malpighiales; Euphorbiaceae. The record is from RNAcentral.
UAACUCUUUCACUAGUUUCAUCCAUAAUACAAUAUCAUAUGCAAAUAAUAUGCACCAAGGGACAUCAUUUUGAAUAUGACUAGUCAACUUAUCCAUAACUAAGGCAAACAAGUACAGACUUAAAGUCAAUCCUUGGGGAAGUGUAAACCCGUAAUUAUGGGAAGCUCGUCUGUGUCCCUUACUGCUGUCCUUAGAGUUAUGACUCACCCCGCAUACAUGUCCCUAAUAGCAUUUGUAUGCUUAAGAUUGACUCUUUUCUUUUCUAACAUCCACUAAAGGACUUUUUUCGGUACUUUAUCAUAUGUCUUUCUAGGUCAAUGAAUACCACAUGGAGAUCCUUUUUCUUCUUUUUCUUCUCUCUAUAUAUUUUCAUUAAUCUUCUUACUAAAAAGAUACUCUAUUGUAAACCUACCAUGCAUAAGGCCAAAAUGGUUCUCCAAUACCUUAGUAGUG